Molecule: signal recognition particle RNA, 187 nt
Filed under: Staphylococcus warneri
Lineage: Bacteria; Bacillati; Bacillota; Bacilli; Caryophanales; Staphylococcaceae
Description: signal recognition particle sRNA large type
Rfam family: Bacterial large signal recognition particle RNA
About the family: The signal recognition particle (SRP) is a universally conserved ribonucleoprotein involved in the co-translational targeting of proteins to membranes.
Source: RNAcentral
CCGUGCUAGGUGGGGAGGUAGCGGUUCCCUGUACUCGAAAUCCGCUUUAUGCGAGACUUAAUUCCUUUGUUGAGGGCGUAUUUUUGUGAAGUCUUAAGUGGACUCUCAUAUGUGCCGUAGGGUAGCCGAGAUUUAGCUAACGACUUCGGUAACGUUUGUGAUAUACGUUCGAUACAAAGGUGCACGG